Molecule: long non-coding RNA, 878 nt
Organism: Triticum aestivum (bread wheat)
Lineage: Eukaryota; Viridiplantae; Streptophyta; Magnoliopsida; Poales; Poaceae
Exons: 4
Source: RefSeq, a predicted model, not a curated record
UUUUGAUACACGUGCAUUCCUUCCUGAUCAUUAAUCAUGGACGCUACCUGACAACCGUAAGGGUGAAGUGGGCGACACUACAUGCGCCAAAUCUUACUUAAGUAGUACUCUUAUUAUUGAUUAGCAAAUACCAUAAUUAGAUAGGAUUAGAGGAGACCGUGUGUAGGGUGGCAACAGGGAGAACAAAUGAAAGGACCAACAUGGAAAAUCGCAUGAGGCCCAGUGGGAGGGGGGAGCCACCUUUUAUCUCCCAGCUCUUCAUAAUCAUAAUCGGUCGAUUGAGGAACACCCCAUGUGCUUCUCUUCCCUCGGUCGGUCUUUUGGGCAGUUUCAACGCUCUUCCUCUCCCGGUCGUUCCACUCCCAAGUUGAUCCCAUAAGUCUUGGCGACCGGCAACUUUCUGACAUAACCGGCUGCAGGUCCAUAAUCUCUCAUCAUAUUUCUAGGGUUCCAUCGUACAUUUCGCACCGAGGCCCCUGGUUUGUAGAUACCGCCCUGGACGUUCCAAACCCAGGCAAAGGGCGCGUGCGAGACACUCAGGUGGCGGCGGGAAGGUGCACCGAAGCUUCCUGCGCCCGAACAAAUCUAUCUCCCCGGCCAGGCCAACCAACUUUGUCGCGCAGAUCGAGAGCGGUGGUGUGCACGACUGCAUGAACGGCUGUACGAGCCUUGUCUCAACCCUGAACACUGAACCGCCGUGCUUGUCCGGCCCUAGCCGCUGCGUCAUCGGCUCGCGCUUUUUGGUUGGCUUUGCUAUCUGAUCUUGGUCUGGAUAUGCGUGCCUACGGGUCAUCACUUGUCUGUGGCGAUCGAUUAGACGAUAACUGAUGAGAUAGAGUGGGGUUUUCUUCUUCAGUUACGAUUAGCAUGCACUGAUC